ACGGUUAUAAAUCAAAAUAUUGAUUUAUAAGCAUGGAAAUCCCCUGAGUGAAACAACGAAUUGCUGUGUGUAGUCUUUGCCCAUCUCCCACGAUGGGCUUUUUUUUAA
Molecule: non-coding RNA, 108 nt
Filed under: Escherichia coli
Lineage: Bacteria; Pseudomonadati; Pseudomonadota; Gammaproteobacteria; Enterobacterales; Enterobacteriaceae
Description: antisense sRNA RprA
Rfam family: RprA RNA
About the family: Translational regulation of the stationary phase sigma factor RpoS is mediated by the formation of a double-stranded RNA stem-loop structure in the upstream region of the rpoS messenger RNA, occluding the translation initiation site. Clones carrying rprA (RpoS regulator RNA A) increased the translation of RpoS. The rprA gene encodes a 106 nucleotide regulatory RNA.
Source: RNAcentral